AAAGCCACCCUACAGGGGGGAUGAGAACACCCGACCGGGGUUCGACUACUGGCGCAGCCAGUUGGACAGACGACGAGCCUGCGAGGAGACUGCCCGAAGGGCGAGCGCAGCGAGUCAAUCCCCCCUCACCGCCA
This 134-nucleotide small RNA is filed under the name Salmonella enterica. Its description in RNAcentral is "RtT sRNA". It matches the Rfam family "RtT RNA". From Rfam's summary of the family: This family represents a bacterial cis-regulatory element known as RtT RNA. The exact function of RtT is unknown although it is thought that it may be involved in changing the cellular response in relation to amino acid starvation. The record is from RNAcentral. RNAcentral also lists the same sequence under 2 other names. Lineage: Bacteria; Pseudomonadati; Pseudomonadota; Gammaproteobacteria; Enterobacterales; Enterobacteriaceae.